Bombyx mori (domestic silkworm) is the source of this 1995-nucleotide RNA transcript. RefSeq lists it as uncharacterized. NCBI's taxonomy places the organism in Eukaryota, Metazoa, Arthropoda, Insecta, Lepidoptera, Bombycidae. The transcript has 2 exons. The record is from RefSeq and is a predicted model, not a curated record.
CACAAAACGGAUCAAACGAGAAAAUUAUAGUACUAUUUGUUGUUUAUUUUAAAAAGUAUUAUUACCGUACUUAGGUACCGUAAUUGGUAAUAUGUUUAAUAUUCAAAAGUCCCCUUAUUAAUAUUUAUUUGAAUGAGACAUAGAGAUUUAAGAAUUGAAUUAACUGUCAAUAUUUUUAUUUUAUUAAAAUAACUAAUUUUUACAUUAUUUCUGAAGAGAGAGCAUUUGAAGAAAAUAAUGUCCAGGCUACGAUUUGGCAGAUCGAACGACGGAUAUCGUCUCGUAUCCAAUGAUGAUAGUGGUUUCUCUGACGCUCAGUUUGAAGCACCACCACCGAAGAUUCCAUGGAAAGCCAUAACAUUAGCUGCAUUUCUGUUUUUGGUCGGGACAAUCCUUCUUAUAGUUGGAAGCUUGAUAGUGACUGGUCACAUUGACACAAAAUAUUCAGAUAGGUUGUGGCCUAUGAUCAUUUUAGGAGGCAUAAUGUUUCUUCCUGGAGCUUAUCACAUAAGGAUAGCGUACUGCGCAUAUAAGCAGUAUCCAGGAUAUAGUUUUACAGACAUUCCAGAAUUUGAUUAGCACUAGUAUCUCACUGUAUUUGAGAUUCAAAUAAGUAACAUGCAACACAAAUCAUCUUCCUGAAUAAUGUAGUUAAUUUCAAUUGUAUAUAUCCUUAUCACUUUUUAGUGAUUACUUAUUAUUUGUUGCUAGUUCUUUUAAUUAAUUCCACAAAAUUUUGCUUUAUAACUAUAAUUUUAAAUUAUAGUAGUAAGAUUAUUUAGUUACAUUUAUUUUUGGGCAAAUUUAAAUUAAAUUUAAUUCUCAUGAUGAAGUCUGUUUUAAACAGAAUGCACAGUGUGACUGAGCAGAAACUGUCAAGAAAACAGUUAAAUUAAUAUUUUUCAAAUCUUAUAUAAAAGGUAAGAGGCAUGAUUUAGAAUAUUGUUAAUGUUAUUGGCAACAGUGAGUAACAAACCAAGACUGUGGUCUUGUUACAAUAACUAGCAAAGGGGUUGAGCAAUACAUUGAAGAAAUAUUAGGGUUGUCACAUGAAUGUGGAACAGGCCUUUCUAAUCAAUUCUAAUUAAGGCCAGACUAAUUAUCAGACGAUCAUUAUGGCUAGACAUUUGAUUUUGAGGUUGCAGUCACAGAAAAAAUCCUAAUGAGCGAUUAAAUUGACAAGACUGCUUAAUGCUUACCCUUACACUCACUUAUCAUUCUGCUGAUCCCACAGAAUGAUUCCAACACUACACCAAGCUAAUAAUGGCAAAUAAAACCGUUUUGCUUGGAAUACUUGUUAGCAUUAUUCUCUGAUGAACCCCAGUCCGACUGACAUACAGACUAUUGUAAAAUAUAAGCUUAGUGAGCUGGAUGUGAGGGCAUUAUUAUCAAUUUCUCUAAGUGUGGAUAUUAUGAAAUUAUGCAUUUUUGUCUGUUCUGGCAUUACUGUGUAGACAAUAUAUAAAUAGUUUAACUCUGAGCCGAUAUGGUUGCACAUGGAUAUCAGGAAUCUCAUGCCACUGUUAACCAUUGAAUGUGCAUAGCUUCAUUUAAUGUAUGAAUACCUAAUACUAUCAAAUUAUAGACAUUUAAGAUGCAUGCUAUUUAUUAAAUGUUCAUGUUAAUUUAAUAAUUAUUUCACGAUUAACCACCAAAACCAGAAGUAUUUGUUUGCCAUUUUUUUAUUUUUGAACUAUAAAAUCCUUUCUAUAAAAUAACAUGAAUUUCUUAACUACUCAUAAUGUUUUUGUGGAUAAAAGACUUCAACUUUGUGGGUUGUCAAGUGGGAGAUGACAUUCACUGGUGUGAUGACUGGGCUAUGUGAACUACAUAACACUACGUGACUAGUGAGUUUGCUAAUCCAUCAAUAAAAAAUAAAUCUGAAAUGGAGUGUCAGAUAAUGAAUAGUGGCUCUCCACUCUCUCUCACUCUCUUGGUGGGUAUUAAAAUGUAUAUGUAUUAUAUAUAAAUAAAUUGAAACCUGUUUAAUAGAAA